AGAGUUUGAUCAUGGCUCAGAGCGAACGCUGGCGGCAGGCCUAACACAUGCAAGUCGAACGGACCCUUCGGGGUUAGUGGCGGACGGGUGAGUAACACGUGGGAACGUGCCUUUUGGUUCGGAAUAGCUCCUGGAAACGGGUGGUAAUGCCGAAUGUGCCCUUCGGGGGAAAGAUUUAUCGCCAUUAGAGCGGCCCGCGUCUGAUUAGCUAGUUGGUGAGGUAAAGGCUCACCAAGGCUACGAUCAGUAGCUGGUCUGAGAGGAUGACCAGCCACAUUGGGACUGAGACACGGCCCAAACUCCUACGGGAGGCAGCAGUGGGGAAUCUUGCGCAAUGGGCGAAAGCCUGACGCAGCCAUGCCGCGUGAAUGAUGAAGGUCUUAGGAUUGUAAAAUUCUUUCACCGGGGACGAUAAUGACGGUACCCGGAGAAGAAGCCCCGGCUAACUUCGUGCCAGCAGCCGCGGUAAUACGAAGGGGGCUAGCGUUGCUCGGAAUUACUGGGCGUAAAGGGAGCGUAGGCGGACAUUUAAGUCAGGGGUGAAAUCCCAGAGCUCAACUCUGGAACUGCCUUUGAUACUGGAUGUCUUGAGUGUGAGAGAGGUAUGUGGAACUCCGAGUGUAGAGGUGAAAUUCGUAGAUAUUCGGAAGAACACCAGUGGCGAAGGCGACAUACUGGCUCAUUACUGACGCUGAGGCUCGAAAGCGUGGGGAGCAAACAGGAUUAGAUACCCUGGUAGUCCACGCCGUAAACGAUGANAGGGAGUUGUCGGGGUGUUUACAUCUCGGUGACGCAGCUAACGCAUAAGCAUCCGCCU
RNAcentral lists this ribosomal RNA (817 nucleotides) under uncultured bacterium. RNAcentral describes it as "bacterial SSU rRNA". It matches the Rfam family "Bacterial small subunit ribosomal RNA", at positions 9 to 873 of the family's 1533-position model. The record is from RNAcentral.